Molecule: ribosomal RNA, 468 nt
Filed under: uncultured bacterium
Lineage: Bacteria
Description: partial 16S ribosomal RNA
Rfam family: Bacterial small subunit ribosomal RNA
Source: RNAcentral
GACGAACGCUGGCGGCGUGCUUAACACAUGCCAGUCGAACGGAAAGGCCCUGCUUUUGUGGGGUUCUCGAGUGGCGAACGGGUGAGUAACACGUGAGUAACCUGCCCUUGACUUUGGGAUAACUUCAGGAAACUGGGGCUAAUACCGGAUAGGAGCUCCUGCUGCAGGGUGGGGGUUGGAAAGUUUCGGCUGUUGGGGAUGGACUGGCGGCUUAUCAGCUUGUUGGUGGGGUAGUGGCUUACCAAGGCUUUGACGGGUAGCCGGCCUGAGAGGGUGACCGGCCACAUUGGGACUGAGAUACGGCCCAGACGCCUACGGGAGGCAGCAGGGGGGAAUAUUGCACAAUGGGCGGAAGCCUGAUGCAGCAACGCCGCGUGCGGGAUGACGGCCUUCGGGUUGUAAACCGCUGUCGCCUGUGACGAAGCGUGAGUGACGGUAAUGGGUAAAGAAGCACCGGCUAACUACGUG